ACAUGCAAGUCGAACGGUAACAGGAAAAGCUUGCUUUUCGCUGACGAGUGGCGAACGGGUGCGUAACACGUAUGCAACCUACCUUUAACUGAGGGAUAGCCCAAAGAAAUUUGGAUUAAUACCUCAUAAUAUUACGAGGUCACAUGGUCACGUAAUUAAAACUCCGGUGGUUAAAGAUGGGCAUGCGCAACAUUAGCUAGUUGGUAAGGUAAUGGCUUACCAAGGCAACGAUGUUAGGGGUCUUAAAGGAUGGUCCCCCACACUGGUACUGAGACACGGUCCAGACUCC
Molecule: ribosomal RNA, 289 nt
Filed under: uncultured bacterium
Lineage: Bacteria
Description: partial 16S ribosomal RNA
Rfam family: Bacterial small subunit ribosomal RNA
Source: RNAcentral